UACGUAGGGGGCAAGCGUUGUCCGGAUUCAUUGGGCGUAAAGAGCGUGUAGGCGGCCAGGUAGGUCGGUUGUGAAAACUGGAGGCUCAACCUUCAGAGGUCGACCGAAACCAUCUGGCUAGAGUCCGGGAGAGGAGAGUGGAAUUCCUGGUGUAGCGGUGAAAUGCGCAGAUAUCAGGAAGUACACCCGUGGCGAAAGCGGCUCUCUGGAACGGUACUGACGCUGAGACGCGAAAGCGUGGGGAGCGAACAGG
This 253-nucleotide ribosomal RNA is filed under the name uncultured bacterium. Its description in RNAcentral is "partial 16S ribosomal RNA". It matches the Rfam family "Bacterial small subunit ribosomal RNA", at positions 524 to 776 of the family's 1533-position model. The record is from RNAcentral.